This 301-nucleotide ribosomal RNA is filed under the name uncultured bacterium. RNAcentral describes it as "partial 16S ribosomal RNA". It matches the Rfam family "Bacterial small subunit ribosomal RNA", at positions 509 to 807 of the family's 1533-position model. The record is from RNAcentral.
CAGUCGCCACGGGAAUACGUAGGUGGUAAGCGUUGUCCGGAAUUAUUGGGCGUAAAGGGCUCGCAGGCGGUUUCUUAAGUCUGAUGUGAAAGCCCCCGGCUCAACCGGGGAGGGUCAUUGGAAACUGGGAAAUUUGAGUGCAGAAGAGGAGGGUGGAAUUCCACGUGUAGCGGUGAAAUGCGUAGAGAUGUGGAGGAACACCAGUGGCGAAGGCGACUCUCUGGUCCGUAACUGACGCUGAGGAGCGAAAGCGUGGGGAGCGAACAGGAUUAGAGACCCCCGUAGUCCCUGUCUCUUAUAC